UGGUUUGGAGCAGGAAAUUAUAUUGUUUUGACAGAUUUAAAUAAAGAUUAAAUGUUUAGUUUCACUACUAGAGCCCAUCCCCGGCAUAAAUAAAAUAUUGUGCAUUUUAAUAUUACGAGAUUUUUCUUUUGGAAACAAUUUAAUACUUUUUUAUUUGAUGAUUUAAACUGGACACAUUUUUGACAAAAUGUUCAACGCGCUUAAAACUGGACACGAGCAGUCAGAUGAGCCAUAAACAGUUCAGGUCCAGCCCGAGAGCCAGUGCUGGAGUCAGGGGACCUCCGCGCGCUGUCAGCCUCGCUGGAGCGGACCAGUGCACGCUGUCAUCCCCAGAGGAGGAUGCGCUCAUUCCGGGCCAAGAGCCUCUCGUUUAGCGUUUACUUUGAUGAACGUAGGACAUACGGACAGAUACGGGGCGGUGUACCCCCAGCGUGCAAAGCAAGCCUUCACAAUGUUUUGUCGCUUUGGGAAACUCGCCACUAUACAGAAACUAUUGCGCACGGACUUGGAUCUGACCAUCCGCGGUCCACCAUCAGGCCUUAUGGAAAAAUCACUGACAAAAGCAUAAUGAAACCCACCUUUGAAGAUGUGGCCAUAGCAAAUUUGUGUUCUUGGAUCCGGGAGUUCUUCUCUAUUCUGCACGUGUGGCUAACACUGGAGGGCGCCAUCGUGACAGGGAACUGGAUGUGUGAAGAAAAAUACCAAACUGCGAGGCAGGACAGAGACAGACACUCAACGUCUGGAAGAGGACAAAACUGUACAUUUUUAUGUGUAAGAAACAAACAGAUAAAAUAUUUGCAAAUAUUAAGUCUCUUGUUUGUUUUUCUUUUUUUUGGAGUGAAUGAAUGCUUAUUUUGUGUCAACAAAAGACAACAGGUGCAGUUUGCCAAAAAAAAGGCCACUAACUUGGUUUCAAAUUAGUUGUGUCAGGUCAGUGGUACAUGGAAGCACAUGAUUAACACCCCACAAUGGCAAACACACAGAACCAGUGACACUUAAACACUC
Molecule: long non-coding RNA, 1005 nt
Organism: Micropterus salmoides (largemouth bass)
Lineage: Eukaryota; Metazoa; Chordata; Actinopteri; Centrarchiformes; Centrarchidae
Exons: 3
Source: RefSeq, a predicted model, not a curated record